CCUCGGCCGGCGCGGACCCCUGGUUGCCCCGGGGUCGAGAGCAGCCGGGGAGAGCUGAGUUCAGAGCCCAGAGUUGGACAUCAGGCCACACGCUGAGAGGGUAGUAAAUGAAAGGGAGUCCGGUUUAGUCGCGGGCAGGGCAUCUCCUCUUCUGCUUGUCUAAAAGUCGCUGGGUGCAGGGGAAGCAAUACUAAGCGGGAAUUUCUUUUUAGUGGCAUCUACACAAUUUGCCUUUCCUGGUUUUUGUUUUGUUUUGUUUUGUUUCCUAAGGAGGGGGAGGCUCUGUAGAGGAAGCUUCGGCCCUGGGUGCCCCUGGGUUGGGAGCAGUCGGGGAGCGCUGAGCCAGGGCGCACGCCCUGUCGGCGCUGCGGGUGUGGGGCGCAGGAGUCCUUCUGGCCGGCCCCUCCGCCCCCCGGGGAGGCUGGAGCUCUCCAAGGCCGGGGAGCCUCCCGAAGCGCGCUGCCCCCUCUGUUCUCCGCGUGCUUUCACUAGGGCCCCAUGCUGCUUAGUGGCCGAUUUGCAGGGAAUCUGGGCACAAUCUUAAUAACACCAGGGCCAAAAAUAACAACGUUCCUGGGAACCGAGCAGCUGGAGCGCACCCCAUGGACGCUGGGCCAUCUCCCCGGGGACUAGUGCCUGACAGAGCUGACAGAGUUCUAGGCCACAUGUGGGCUAGAAGGAACCGCCAUGUCUACCACAGCACAGUCCUUAAGCAGGAGCCUUUUGAAGCACUUGGACUCAAAACAAUGGCUGUUUGUUGUUGUUGUUGUUGUUGUUUGUUUGUUUUGAGGGAGCCAGAAAGCUAAAAAAUGUAAAAGAAGCAGGUCACAUUAGACAUGAUUUCAGACAGCCUCCCCGAAGGACAGAUGAUCUCACUUGGCAACACAUACUGGGCCAGGCUCACUCAUGAGGGGGCAGCGUGGCAUGCACCCCACUCAGGGGCAAGAAUGAAGCUUAAAUAUUAGCUGACUCAGAACAUAGCAAGUGCUCAGUAAUGGCUUCUGGAACGAACCCGUGGUUGUCACCAGCAGGAGUGACGAAAGCUAGAAGCCGUUUCACCAUCCAAGGAAGAGGAGGAACAAUAUUUUUCUCUUUGGAGUUCCCACACUCAGAAGAGAGAACACCAGCAUAUGAACACAGAGUGUCACAUGAUGUAGGAAACAUCCUAUCCAGUCAUUGUGAAGAAACGGAGGCACGGGGAGAUUAAGAGAGCUACUUAAGAAGACACGGUGCCAGGUUUCUACCCAAGCCAUUUGGAUCUAGGGUCUGGAGGCCAUGUGAGCCAUUUUGCAUUAGAUUAACGCUUUAAUUCAGUUCACAGUUAGACAAUAUACGUUCCCCAUCUAUAUCUAUACCCAUCUGGAAGGCAACAAAAAGAUAAUAAACUGAUAGUGUCAUGUGCCCAUGACCCAGCUAACAAAGAGGCUCUGGGUUCCAAUGCCCCAGUCUUUCAUGGGAUUCCAUCGACCUCAUGCCCUGCUCCCCUCCCCAACAGAGAUGGAAACAUUAUCCUGAAUUUUGUGUUUAUCAUCCCUUGUUUCUCUCUAUAGUUUUUCCACUUAUGGUUGUAUGAUUUUUGUUUGUUUGUUUUUUGAGACGGCAUCUCGCUCUGUCACCAGGCUGGAGUGCAGUGGCGUGAUCUCGGCUCUACCUCCCAGGUUCAAGCCAUCCUCCUGCCUCAUCCUCCCGAGUAGCUGGGACUACAGGCACACGCCACCAUGCCCAGCUAAUUUUUGUAUUUUUAGUAGAGACGGGGUUUCACCUUAUGGUUGUAUCUUUAAACAAUGUCUUGUUUAGUUUUGCCAUGUUUUUGGACUGUGAAUAAGUAGAAUUAUUAUGCUGUGUGAAUUCUUCUGCUACUUGCAUUUUUGCUGCAACGUCAUGUUCCUGAAAUUCAGCCAGGAUUCAUUUAUUCCUUUUCACUGCUGUGUGAUAUCCCAUUGUAGGCAAAUAGUACACAAUAUUUAUUUAUUUUCCAGAUGGGAUCUCAUUCUGUCACCCAGGCUUGUAGUGCAGUGACCCCAUCACGAUUCACUGCAGCCUUGAACUCCUGGGCUCAAGCAAUCCUCCUGCCUCAGCCUCCUGAGUUGCUAAGGCCACAAAUAUUUAUCCAUUUUACUGCUAAUGCAAUUUGAGCUGUUUUCAACUUUUUCCUAUUAAAACAUUAUUGCUAUGAACAUUCUUAUAAAAGCUUCCCAGUGCACGUGUGUGAGAUCUUUCUAGUGUGUAUGCUAGCAGGAGAAUUACUGAGUUUUACCGUACAUGUAUCUUCAAUCUUAUUAGAUAACACUGACUUGUUUUUGAAAUUGGCUCUUCCAAUUUACACUGUCAACAGCAGGGUUAUGUGGUUGCCCUGCAAGUUCAACAACAUUUGGUAUUGUCAGACUUUAAUAUUUUUGUCAAUCUGGUUGGUAUAAAAUGGUAUGGUGUGGUGCUUUUUAUUUGCAUUUCCAUGAUUACUAAUGAGGUUGAGCAUCUUUUCACAUGUUUAUGGGCCAUUUACUUUUCCUCUUCUAUGAAAUUACUAUUCAAGCCCUUUGCCCAUUUUUCUGUUAUGUUGUUUGUCUUUUUCUUAUCGAGGUGGAGGAGUUCUCUGCAGUCUGAAUACGAAUCAUUUUUCAGUUAUGUGCAUUGAAAAUAUCUCCUCCCAGUGUGUAGUUCUUUACACUUUUUAAAAUGGUAUCUUUUAACGAACUAAUAUGGGUUUUAAUGUGUCAAAUAUGUUGAUCAUUUUCUUUAUGGUUUGUGUUUCUUUUGUCUUAAGGAGUCCACUUCUACCCUGAGCUUAUACAAUUUUUUCUGUAUUAUAUUUAUUUUAUAGGGUUU
RNAcentral lists this long non-coding RNA (2826 nucleotides) under Homo sapiens (human). RNAcentral's name for it is "HSALNT0346369". The record is from RNAcentral. Lineage: Eukaryota; Metazoa; Chordata; Mammalia; Primates; Hominidae.